AGCUCGAGUUUCUCUUCAUUGUCGCAUAAAUCUUUCGCCUUUUACUAAAGAUUUCCGUGGAGGGAGCUUUUGCGAGUGACCUGUAUUUUUGGGGGCUCUGCUCACAGCAGAGCU
Molecule: small nuclear RNA, 114 nt
Organism: Cyprinus carpio carpio
Lineage: Eukaryota; Metazoa; Chordata; Actinopteri; Cypriniformes; Cyprinidae
Gene: U5
Rfam family: U5 spliceosomal RNA
About the family: U5 RNA is a component of both types of known spliceosome. The precise function of this molecule is unknown, though it is known that the 5' loop is required for splice site selection and p220 binding, and that both the 3' stem-loop and the Sm site are important for Sm protein binding and cap methylation.
Source: Ensembl